UGGGGAAUCUUGCACAAUGGGGGCAACCCUGAUGCAGCGACGCCGCGUGAGCGAUGAAGGUUUUCGAAUCGUAAAGCUCUGUCCUAUGGGAAGAUAAUGACGGUACCAUAAGAAAAAGCCCCGGCUAACUACGUGCCAGCAGCCGCGGUAAUACGUAGGGGGCUAGCGUUGUCCGGAAUCACUGGGCGUAAAGGGUUCGCAGGCGGAAAUGCAAGUCAGGUGUAAAAGGCAGUAGCUUAACUACUGUAAGCAUUUGAAACUGCAUAUCUUGAGAAGAGUAGAGGUAAGUGGAAUUUUUAGUGUAGCGGUGAAAUGCGUAGAUAUUAAAAAGAAUACCGGUGGCGAAGGCGACUUACUGGGCUCAUUCUGACGCUGAGGAACGAAAGCGUGGGUAGCAAACAGG
RNAcentral lists this ribosomal RNA (403 nucleotides) under Verrucomicrobiota bacterium. Its description in RNAcentral is "Verrucomicrobia bacterium partial 16S ribosomal RNA". It matches the Rfam family "Bacterial small subunit ribosomal RNA", at positions 355 to 776 of the family's 1533-position model. Lineage: Bacteria; Pseudomonadati; Verrucomicrobiota. The record is from RNAcentral.